Molecule: ribosomal RNA, 482 nt
Filed under: uncultured bacterium
Lineage: Bacteria
Description: partial 16S ribosomal RNA
Rfam family: Bacterial small subunit ribosomal RNA
Source: RNAcentral
AUUGAACGCUGGCGGCAUGCCUUACACAUGCAAGUCGAACGGUAACAGGUCUUCGGAUGCUGACGAGUGGCGCACGGGUGAGUAAUACAUCGGAACGUGCCCGAUCGUGGGGGAUAACGAAGCGAAAGCUUUGCUAAUACCGCAUAAGAUCUACGGAUGAAAGCAGGGGACCGCAAGGCCUUGCGCGAACGGAGCGGCCGAUGGCAGAUUAGGUAGUUGGUGGGAUAAAAGCUUACCGAGCCGACGAUCUGUAGCUGGUCUGAGAGGACGACCAGCCACACUGGGACUGAGACACGGCCCAGACUCCUACGGGAGGCAGCAGUGGGGAAUUUUGGACAAAGGGCGAAAGCCUGAUCCAGCCAUGCCGCGUGCAGGAUGAAGGCCUUCGGGUUGUAAACUGCUUUUGUACGGAACGAAAAGACUCUGGUUAAUACCUGGGGUCCAUGACGGUACCGUAAGAAUAAGCACCGGCUAACUACGUG